This is an RNA transcript of Chenopodium quinoa (quinoa), 1271 nucleotides long. RefSeq lists it as uncharacterized. The transcript is spliced from 6 exons. The record is from RefSeq and is a predicted model, not a curated record. Lineage: Eukaryota; Viridiplantae; Streptophyta; Magnoliopsida; Caryophyllales; Amaranthaceae.
GAAUCACUUUACCCUCAAUUUAAUCUAUUCGUGAAAGAGAAAAAUAUCCCACUCUAAUAUUCACUUUCAUAGUUUCACCUCAUUUACUCUGAAAGAACCGUCGGUCUCUGCACCGCCGAACCCACCGUCGCUCCCACUGUUGCACGCCUAUGGUCAUCGGCACACCGGCGCACCGCCAUACCCACCGAAGCACCAUCGCACUGCUGCACCGUUGCGCCACCACUGCACUUACUAGAAAUUUGCCUUGUUCUGGUAAAUAUAUACAAAUAUAUGGAAGUUGCAUAAGGGGUUACUCUCUGUCUCUCAAAGUGGACCCUCGAGCAAAUUAGCAGUGAAUCUUGGUGUACCAGAACUCCUACAGCUUGCUCUGCUGCACUUUUGAUUCUACAAUGGCUGAGUGCUUUCAUCAUGAGAGCUUACAGUCCUUUGGCUAUGGGCAUACUGUUUGGUAAAUACUUUGGAGAUGAUAGAGGUCCUGCAGAUGCUCGAUUGAAUCUUUUCAAAGGAAGAUAUUCAGAAGGGGAAUCCAGGUAUAGCCUGUCCAAUGCUGCUACAAAAUUAGCAUAUUCUUUUCAGCUUUGGAAGGACUUGUAACUCCUGUUAAUCUGAUAACAUGUUCUUGCUCUAUGUUGGUUACUAUUUCUAAACUCAACAUGCAACAACAACUAGUUAGAUCAUAUGAUGUACUUGGAACUUUUAGCUACCUCAGUGCUGAGAACAAGGCAGUCAAAUGUUUAAUACUUGUAUUUCUUGGAUAUGCAUGCUAUGGAGCCUUGGCAUUUUUGUGCUGACAACUUGAGUUGUUAAUGUAUUCACUUUUACUGCAGGAGUACCUUCAUAUAGCAGAAAAGUACGGCCUUCACCCAGUUUCUUUGGCAAUUGCUUUUAUUUGAAGCACCCCCUUGUAGCAAGUGCUGUUUUAGGAGCAACCAAGAUAUGGCAGCUUCAGGAGAUUGUUAAUGCAUUUCGUAUUGAGUUAUCAGCUGAAGUAGUUGCUAAGAUAAACAAGGUUCAUUCAAGAUUUCCAAAUCCAUGUCCCUAGGAUUGGUAACGUGAGAUAAUAUUUUUUUUAUUUAGAUUAAUUAAUUUUUGGCCCUAAAUUUAUGGCUUUGCUUGUAACUUAUAAGACUUGUAAGUGUGUGCAUCUUUGGACUUAUAAACCAUGGAGUUAGCUGUUUUGGAUUGAAUUGUAACAGGUUGUAAUCCAUUUAGUAGGAUAUACUACCAUUUUGUAUUCGAAUCAAAUAUUUAUUAUAAAAAAAUUAUUUAUU